This 164-nucleotide ribosomal RNA is filed under the name Boesenbergia rotunda. Its description in RNAcentral is "5.8S ribosomal RNA". It matches the Rfam family "5.8S ribosomal RNA". From Rfam's summary of the family: 5.8S ribosomal RNA (5.8S rRNA) is a component of the large subunit of the eukaryotic ribosome. It is transcribed by RNA polymerase I as part of the 45S precursor that also contains 18S and 28S rRNA. The record is from RNAcentral. RNAcentral also lists the same sequence under 19 other names. Lineage: Eukaryota; Viridiplantae; Streptophyta; Magnoliopsida; Zingiberales; Zingiberaceae.
CAAAUGACUCUCGGCAAUGGAUAUCUCGGCUCUUGCAUCGAUGAAGAACGUAGUGAAAUGCGAUACUUGGUGUGAAUUGCAGAAUCUCGUGAACCAUUGAGUCUUUGAACGCAAGUUGUGCCCGAGGCCUUGUGGCCGAGGGCACGCCUGCUUGGGCGUCAUGA